GGGGGGGCCCCCUUAAUAUUUGCAUGCUGAGCGAAUUGGAUUAAGAGCUUUGCUCUUAUUGAAGUUUGCGGCGGACGGGUGAGAUACACGUGGGUUACCUUGCCCAUAGACUGGGAUACUCCGGGAAACCGGGGCUAUACCGGAUACAUUUUGAACCGCAUGGUUCGAAAUUGAAAGGCGGCUUCGGCUGUCACUUAUGGAUGGACCCGCGUCGCAUUAGCUAGUUGGUGAGGUAACGGCUCACCAAGGCAACGAUGCGUAGCCGACCUGAGAGGGUGAUCGGCCACACUGGGACUGAGACACGGCCCAGACUCCUACGGGAGGCAGCAGUAGGGAAUCUUCCGCAAUGGACGAAAGUCUGACGGAGCAACGCCGCGUGAGUGAUGAAGGCUUUCGGGUCGUAAAACUCUGUUGUUAGGGAAGAACAAGUGCUAGUUGAAUAAGCUGGCACCUUGACGGUACCUUAAACCCCCCCAAGGAAAAAAAGGGCCCAACCGGGGCCUUAAAACCUUAACCCGUUGGCCCCAAGGCCAAGGCCCCGGCCGGGUUAAAAUAAACCGGUUAAGGGGUGGGGCCCAAGCCGGGUUUAUUUCCCCGGGAAAAUUUAAUUUUGGGGGCGGUUAAAAAGCCCCCGGGGGCCAAGGGGUGGGGUUUCUUUUUUAAAAGUCUUUUGAAUUGUGGAAAAAGGCCCCCACCGGGCUUCCAAACCCCGGUGGGAAGGGGGUUCCAUUUGGGAAAAACCUGGGGAGGAACCUUUGAAGUUGCAAGAAAAAGAAGGGAAAAAGUUGGAAAUUUUCCCAUUGUGGUAAGGCGGGUGAAAAAUGGCGGUAAGAAGAAUAUUGGGAGGGAAACACCCCAAGUGGGCCGAAAGGGCGAACCUUUCUUUGGUCUUUGUAAACUUGAGCACCUGAGGGGCGGCGGAAAAGCCGUGGGGGAGGCAAAACAAGGAAUUAGAAUAACCCCUGGUAAGUUCCACCGCCCGUAAAACGAAUGAAGUGGCUAAAGUGUUAAGAAGGGGUUUCCGCCCCUUAAGUGCUGAAAGUUAAACGCAUUAAAGCACUCCGCCUGGGGAGUACGGCCGCAAAGGCUGAAAAUCAAAGGAAAUGAACGGGGGCCCGCACCAAGCGGGGGAGCAAGUGGUUUAAUUCGAAACAAACGCGAAGAACCUUAACCAAGUCUUGACAUCCUCUGACAAACCUAAAGAAAAGGGCUUCUCCUUCGGGAACAGAAUGACAAGUGGUGCAAGGUUGUCGUCAACUCGUGUCCUGAGAAGUUGGGUUAAAUCCCGCAAACGAAGCGCAAACCCUGAUUUUAAGUUGCCAUCCUUAAAUUGGGCCCUUUAAAGGUGGCUGCCGGUGGCAAACCGGAGGAAAGUGGGGAAGACGUCAAAUCAUCAAGCCCCUUAUGGCCUGGGGUACCCCCGUGGUUCAAAGGGCGGACAAAAAACUGCAAAGGCCCCGAAGGUGGAAGGUAAUUUCAAAAAAACGUUUUCAAUUUGGAUUGUUGGGUGCAAAUUGCCUACCAGAAAGCCGGAAUCGGUUGAAUCGCGGGUCAAGCCUGCCGCGGUGAAUACGUUUCCGGGCCUUGUACCCCCCGCCCCUCACCCCCCGAAAGUUUGAAACCCCCCAAAGUCGGUGGGGAAACCUUUUUGAAGCCAAGCCGCCCAAACGGUGGAGCACAGUGAUUGGGGAACCGUCAUAAAAAAGUUACUGGGGGU
This 1717-nucleotide ribosomal RNA is filed under the name Bacillus paramycoides. RNAcentral describes it as "partial 16S ribosomal RNA". It matches the Rfam family "Bacterial small subunit ribosomal RNA". The record is from RNAcentral. Lineage: Bacteria; Bacillati; Bacillota; Bacilli; Caryophanales; Bacillaceae.